UCCCUGGAUUAAUACAAUUUUUGAAUAUCCUCUAUAAAAGAUCAACAUCUCUGUAGUCCGUGCUGGCUUUAAUUCGGAGUUUAGGGUCAAAAAGGACCAUGAGGAUGGUCCUACCCUCAGUGUGGCUGGGACCAUGGUGCAAACACAUGUGGGCACCAGGCUUUCCCCAGCCUGAAAAGUGAGAAGGGAAAUGGAUGGGGUCUGUGGAGCUGAGAAAGGUUAUGCAGGAGUCAAGUGCUGUGUGCCAGGACAUGGCUGGGCUGGGAUCCGGAAAGUGAUUCUCUCCAAAGGACGUGGAACAGCUGGCAGCAUGCCUCCUCCCCUCCUCUUCCUCUGAAGCACCCUGGAGUCAGGAUGCUGCCUUUGAUGACUCAGUAGUCUGCUUGGCUGUGGCAGAUCUUGUAUUUCUGGAGAGAAUCAAUAUAAACACUUUCUUUUGUAUUUCCUUAUUUUUUUUUUCCCCUUACCCAUUGUAGUGCCUCUUAUUUCACUGUCUGCUGUCUGUCCCCAGCACCAAAGGAAGCUGUGAUCCCUAAUUCCCAGUGCUGCCCAGCCUGCUAUAAAACUGCUCAGUGUGAAACGUAAUAUGCAAAAAAAAAAAAAAAAAAAAAAAAAAAAUUCCUUUUUUUUUUCUUUUUUUUUCCCCCCCCUCCUUUUUGGCAGGCUUUGGAAAAGGCCUGUUUCCUGGCAGGAGAAAAAGCCAGCCUUGGCUUCAAGCAGCCACUGACAAUUCCCAGCAUAUGGUAAGAGAGGGAGCUUCCGCCUACCCCAUCAGAUCAGUCUCUACCUGUCCCAGACUGAGAUGUAAUGUGGCUGUAGACUGUAACUGUUUACAGAAGUGGGAGCCUUCAAUAGCUGCCUCUUCAUUGCCUGGUUUGGAGACUGACUCAGAAAAUAAGACAUUAAGCUUUAAAGCUAGCUGAAAAAUAAAGGGUGGAGAUGUGAAAAAUGUCA
This 954-nucleotide long non-coding RNA is filed under the name Cyanistes caeruleus (blue tit). RNAcentral's name for it is "lncRNA (ENSCCEG00000009072.1)". Lineage: Eukaryota; Metazoa; Chordata; Aves; Passeriformes; Paridae. The record is from RNAcentral.